GUCACCACGGCAUGUGUGUGUCCAUCACUGUGGGUGUCCAUCACUGAAGGGUGUGCAUGUCCAUCCCUGGCUGCAGUGCUGGGUUCCAGCAGUGCUGGACAGCUGCCAGCAGUCAGACUCCUGGCCGGUGAGCGUGGGCCUGCUUCCCGCUGUCCGUGUCGAGUUUCAUUUCUCCGCGUUUCGCGGUUCUCCUGUGUUUCACCUGCGUGGUUAGGUCAGUGCCCGAGAUUUUGUUGUCUCGGUGUUGCUGUGGAUGGGUCGCCUUGUGAUCUGCUCUCUGGAUGGUUCUGUGGUUAAUGUGUGGAAAUUCGGUGCUGUCUGUGGACUUUGCACCCUGCUUUCGUGGGAUCUUCAGGCUUUCUUCACUCAAGGGGGUGGUGUCCGGUGUGCAUGCUCUUCACCUCCAGCCAGCCCCGUCCUGCUGGCCUGUUUGCUGAGCGGACCAUUCUCUGCCGGCCAGCUCCCUGGUGCCUGGAUCCAAUGGUGCUGGGCUGACCAGAGGGGCCACCCGCCGUGUUCCCCAUUCCCGGGAAGGUGUCCGUCCCCCAGGGAGGCCGCAUGCCCUCCAGCUGGGCCGGGCCGGCAGUGUGGGAGGCGAUGAUGUCAUCUGCUCCUGGGGCAUGCAGCCCAGGCCAGGAUCCAGUGACCCAGGGCCAGGGCCUUCUCCAGGCGAGUGUCCCCCCACGGGAGCCGUGAGGAAUGUGGUAGGAGGAAGGGGAGUUUGGGAGGAGCCGCCUGUGGCUCUGCAGGGACCUGGCCGGGUCAGGCUGGGAGCUGGCAGCUGUGGCCUCCUGCUGUCUUCCUGGGGAGGGUAGGGGCGGCGUCCCGCUCUGUCACCAGCACUCAGGCCCGUGAGCCCUGCCUCUGACCCUGGAGUGUCCCCAAGGGGACCCUGGGCCCCCAGGCUUCUGAUGAGCAGGGACCGCCAUGGCAGCUGUCACUGGGUUGGCAGUGGCACUGUCAGCAGGAAGUGACCGCCCAGGGCCAGCCCAGCCAUGCUCUCUGGCCGUGGCCUUCAGGCAGCAGGUGCAAGGCCAGGCUGUGUCCACGGAGGCCUCUGUCCACUCUGCACCUGGCCGGCUCUGCUUCCAGUUGGCGCUAGUGUCCUGGCAGUCGGGGUUGGGCUGAGGCCCACAGGGAGCUCCGACCAGCAGGCCCUACCACCCACGUGGCCGGGACCCUGGCCACCAGAGUGCAGGGCUGCCCGGGCCCAGAGGGCGCCUCCCGCAGGGUCCCGUCUUGCUUCUGCGUUCGUUUUCUUCUCAAGGAGCUUGAAAGACAACCUGUCUCCCAAAGUCGGGGUUCAGCUUCUGUGCCCCAGGGAACCCCACAUCAGCUUGGCCUGUGGCAGGGGCCCAGCCUGUGCGGCCGCAGUGCACACGUACACACUCAAUUCUCAUGAACACUCGCACACUCACUCCUGUGCACUCACACAUGUGCCCGCUCAUGCACUCACACUCAUGUUCUCAUGAACACACAUGUAUGCACGCUCAUGAUCUCUCGAGAACUCACAAGCACUUGCACACACACACUCACUUGUACACGCACACCCCUGUGUGCUCACACACCUGCCCCAACCAUCUCUCCACAGCCUCCAUGAGACGCCUCACACUCUUGCUGUGAGUGCCCCGGUGUGGGCUUCCCCCACGCAACCUGGGGGGCUCUGGGGUCCCCUGCAGGGAAGCCAUGAGGACCAUGGGAGUGACGGGAGGGCGGCUCUGAGGAGAGCGGCCCUGUUCUCGUCUGUGCCAGGAGCUUGCUGUGUGCGGGACCAGCUCUUGGUGCACAGGAGCCUGGGGGUGGGGGCAUUUGGAAGAGCCUGGGUGGGGGCAUCUGGAGCCUGGGAGGGGUCUGACGCCUGGGGAGUAUCUGGAGCCUGGGAGGGGGGAGUCUGGAGCUGGGGGGCAUCUGGAGCCUGGGGGGCGUCUAGGCGCCUCUUCUCCUUUCUUGCCACUGAGGGAUGGCUUCCUUCAGGUAAUGCCUGGCGCUGCUGUUCCUGGGGUCAGAGCGAGGGGGACAGGCAGGGGCUGGUGGGGGCUCUGCACUCCCGUGGGGAUGCUCCCCUCCCCCAGCCAGCUGCGAUGUCGCUGGGGGUCCCCCUGUGGCCUGUGAGCCCCUGGAGGAAGAGGGGCACUGCCUAAUUCCUUGCAGCUGGUUUUCUCUCUGUUUGAAGACAUGUUUGUUUGAAAGGCAGAGUUAGAGAGGGAGUGACAGAGUCUUCCACUUGCUGGAAGGAGCCUGGAGCUCCAUGUGGGUCUCCCACGGGGGUGCAGGGGCCCAGGUCCUCGGGCCGCCCUCCGCGCCCUCCGAGCACAGGAGCAGGGAGCUGGCGGCACAUGGGGGACUCCGGCACUCACGGGGGACGCCGGCACCGCAGGCGGUGGCCUAACCCGCUGCUCCAGGAGCUGGCCCUCGCAGGUGGUUUCUGUAGCGUGGUUGGGGCCUUGACUAGCGGGGGUGGCUGCCGGUGGU
Long non-coding RNA from Oryctolagus cuniculus (rabbit), 2472 nucleotides. The record is from Ensembl. Lineage: Eukaryota; Metazoa; Chordata; Mammalia; Lagomorpha; Leporidae.